RNAcentral lists this ribosomal RNA (576 nucleotides) under uncultured eukaryote. RNAcentral's name for it is "partial 18S ribosomal RNA". It matches the Rfam family "Eukaryotic small subunit ribosomal RNA", at positions 202 to 794 of the family's 1831-position model. The record is from RNAcentral.
GUAGUAUUUAUUARAUUGAAACCAACCCCUUCGGGGUGAUGUGGUGAUUCAUAAAAAGCUCCCCUUCGGGGGCCUCAGGGGGGCGAUGGAUCAUUCAAGUAUCUGCCCUAUCASCUUUGGAAGGGAUGGUAUUGGCCUACCAUGGAUUUAACGGGGAAGGGGAAAUUAGGGUUUGAUUCCGGAGAGAGAGCCUGAGGGACAGCUACCACUUCCUAGGGAGGGAGCGGGYGCGAAAAUUACCCAAUCCUGACRGAAGGAGGUAGGGACAAUAAAUAACAAUGCCKGGCCUUUGGAGGUCUGGMCAUUGAAAUGAAAACAAUUUAAACCCCUUAUCGAGUAUCAAUUGGAGGGCAAGUUUGGAGCCCGCAUCCGCKAUAAUUCCAGCUCCAAUASUGGAUAUUAAAGUUGUUGCAAUUAAAAAGCUCGUAGUUGGAUUUGUGGCUGUCACAAGUGGCAUAUCACCUAKUGUUAGUGCUUGCUGGUGUCGCCAUCCUUAAGUGAAGGCCGUGUGGUGUUGGKGUCKCCWGCCKUAGAUGCACCUCGUGUASUGUKAGAAURUYAKGCKGUKCAURGCCM